RNAcentral lists this ribosomal RNA (230 nucleotides) under uncultured bacterium. Its description in RNAcentral is "partial 16S ribosomal RNA". It matches the Rfam family "Bacterial small subunit ribosomal RNA", at positions 567 to 791 of the family's 1533-position model. The record is from RNAcentral.
GUGCGGCGUAGGCGGUUUUAGUAAGACUGUCGUGAAAUCCCCCGGGCUCAACCUGGGAAUGGCGAUGGUGACUGCAAGGCUAGAGUUUGGCAGAGGGGGGUAGAAUUCCACGUGUAGCAGUGAAAUGCGUAGAUAUGUGGAGGAACACCGAUGGCGAAGGCAGCCCCCUGGGUCAAAACUGACGCUCAUGCACGAAAGCGUGGGGAGCAAACAGGAUUAGAUACCCCAGU